UAAUACGUAGGGGCCGAGCGUUGUCCGGAGUUACUGGGCGUAAAGCGCGCGCAGGCGGCCAUCUAAGCCCGGCGUGAAAGCCCCCGGCUCAACCGGGGAGGGUCGUCGGGGACUGGGUGGCUUGAGGACGGCAGGGGCUGGUGGAAUCCCCGGUGUAGUGGUGAAAUGCGUAGAGAUCGGGGGGAACACCCGUGGCGAAGGCGGCCAGCUGGGCCGUUCCUGACGCUGAGGCGC
This 234-nucleotide ribosomal RNA is filed under the name uncultured bacterium. RNAcentral's name for it is "partial 16S ribosomal RNA". It matches the Rfam family "Bacterial small subunit ribosomal RNA", at positions 521 to 754 of the family's 1533-position model. The record is from RNAcentral.